RNAcentral lists this ribosomal RNA (455 nucleotides) under uncultured bacterium. Its description in RNAcentral is "bacterial SSU rRNA". It matches the Rfam family "Bacterial small subunit ribosomal RNA", at positions 29 to 524 of the family's 1533-position model. The record is from RNAcentral.
AGCGAACGCUGGCGGCAGGCCUAAAACAUGCAAGUCGAACGGAUCCUUCGGGAUUAGUGGCGGACGGGUGAGUAACACGUGGGAACGUGCCUUUUGGUUCGGAACAACUCAGGGAAACUUGAGCUAAUACCGAAUGUGCCCCUUCGGGGGAAAGAUUUAUCGCCAUUAGAGCGGCCCGCGUCUGAUUAGCUUGUUGGUGAGGUAAAGGCUCACCAAGGCGACGAUCAGUAGCUGGUCUGAGAGGAUGAUCAGCCACACUGGGACUGAGACACGGCCCAGACUCCUACGGGAGGCAGCAGUUAGGAAUCUUGCGCAAUGGGGGAAACCCUGACGCAGCCAUGCCGCGUGAAUGAUGAAGGUCUUAGGAUUGUAAAAUUCUUUCAGCGGGGACGAUAAAUGACGGUACCCGCAGAAGAAGCCCCCGGGCUAAACUUCGUGCCAGCAGCCGCGGUAAU